CAAGGCGAUGAGCUGUCGAAGCUGACAAGAGUGCUGGUUAGGUGGGACCGUCAACGUCUCUCCCGCCCGCCGGUCGAGAGCAAAUGGCUGCCAUCUAAGGAGAAGUGGCGCCGAAGAAAAAGAACCCGAGUUAACGUCGUUGCGCUCCCAAGUCCCCAUGGCAUUUGAGAGAGCGAGACACCACCUGUGAGGGGAAGCCUAUGCUUAGCCCUGGCGUUUACACAUUUUGGAGGCAGCUGAUUCUGGAAUAAUUUCCGUUAUUCCCCAUCGCUCUUGGCGACAGAUCCUCUUGGGCAGAGUGAAACUUAAUGGAGAUAUAGAAUAUGAUGGCAGAUGUGGGAUCCAAGAAGUGCUAUUAAAACAAAUAUAAAAAUAAGUAUAUAUUAAAGUGUCAUGAGGAAAUUUGCAUAUUGCAAGGUGGUCCUGGCCACUUCAUUGGUUUGGGUCCUUUUGGAUAUGUUUAUGUUACUUUACUUCAGUGAAUGCAAUAAAUGUGAUGAAAAAAAAGAGCGGGGACUUCCACCAGGAGAUGUUCCAGAAUCAGUGCAAAAACCUCAUGAAGGUCCAGGAGAAAUGGGGAAACCUGUUGCCAUUGCUAAGGAAGACCAAGAGAAAAUGAAGGAAAUGUUUAAAAUCAACCAGUUUAAUUUAAUGGCCAGUGAAAUUAUUGCACUCAACAGAUCUUUACCUGAUGUUAGGCUGGAAGGCUGUAAGACAAAAAUGUAUCCUGAUAAUCUUCCUACAACAAGUGUUGUAAUUGUUUUUCAUAAUGAAGCUUGGAGUACUCUCUUGAGAACUGUUCAUAGUGUAAUAAACAGAUCACCAAGAUAUAUGCUGGAAGAAAUUAUCCUGGUAGAUGAUGCUAGUGAAAGAGACUUCUUGAAGAGACCAUUGGAGAACUAUGUGAAAAAAUUACGAAUACCAGUGUAUGUGAUUCGAAUGGAGCAGCGUUCUGGACUCAUCAGAGCCAGAUUGAAAGGAGCUGCUGCCUCUAAAGGCCAAGUCAUUACCUUUUUAGAUGCUCAUUGUGAAUGCACUGUAGGUUGGCUUGAGCCUUUGUUAGCACGGAUUAAAGCUAAUAGGAAAACUGUAGUUUGUCCUAUCAUUGAUGUAAUCAGUGAUGACACAUUUGAAUACAUGGCAGGCUCUGAUAUGACUUAUGGAGGAUUCAACUGGAAGUUAAAUUUCCGAUGGUAUCCUGUUCCUCAGAGAGAAAUGGAUAGAAGGAAAGGUGAUCGGACUCUUCCAGUUAGGACACCUACAAUGGCAGGAGGCCUCUUUUCCAUAGACAGAGAUUAUUUUCAAGAAAUUGGAACAUAUGAUGCUGGAAUGGAUAUAUGGGGAGGAGAAAACCUAGAGAUUUCAUUCAGAAUUUGGCAAUGUGGAGGAACUUUGGAAAUAGUGACAUGUUCACAUGUGGGACAUGUUUUUCGAAAAGCCACUCCUUACACUUUUCCAGGAGGCACUGGACAGAUUAUUAAUAAAAAUAAUAGGCGACUUGCAGAAGUUUGGAUGGAUGAAUUCAAAAAUUUUUUUUACAUAAUUUCUCCAGGGGUUACAAAGGUGGAUUAUGGAGACAUUUCUUCACGACUUGGACUAAGACAGAAGCUACAGUGCAAACCUUUUUCCUGGUAUUUAGAGAAUGUUUAUCCUGAUUCCCAAAUACCACGACACUAUUUCUCUUUGGGAGAGAUAAGAAAUGCAGAAACAAAUCAGUGUCUAGAUAAUAUGGCACGAAAAGAAAAUGAAAAAGUUGGAAUUUUUAAUUGCCAUGGAAUGGGUGGUAAUCAGGUUUUCUCAUACACAGCUAACAAGGAGAUCCGAACAGAUGAUUUGUGCUUAGAUGUCUCCAAACUUCAUGGUCCAGUCACAAUGCUCAAAUGCCAUCACUUAAAAGGCAAUCAGCUUUGGGAGUAUGAUCCAGUGAACCACCUUGCUGUAGCUGGAACAACUCCGUGAUAGGACCUCUGCUUCUGACGUUCGGUUGUUGCAGGACAUUAAGAAGCUGAUGGCGGCUACCCAGUUCUCGGCAGACGCCACAUUGGAUGCAAUAUGUCAGAGGUUCGGUCGGCCAACAGUGGACAUCUUCACCACCCUGUCGAACGCCCAGGUCCGGGACUUCAUCUCUCGAUUCCUGACUCGAGGACCAGUGGAUGUCGACGCCCUGUGUUGCAGAUGGCUGGCGGACCACCACUACGCUUUCCCCCCUCUCUCCCUCCUUCCUGGGGUUCUGAGGAAGUUAGUGCUAGAGAGGGCGGAAGUGAUUCUGGUAGCGCCCUAUUGGCCCCAGCGACUCUGGUUCACAGACCUGGAUCCAGAUCAGUGCACAGAUCAGUGCUUCUCCACUGGAGGAUUCCACAGGGGUAAGUGGCUCUGCGCCAGGGGAGCCUGGUCCAUCAGGAGCCAGAGUGGCUUCAGUUGAACGUUUGGCGCUUGAACAGGAGCAACUGAGAGCGGGCCAUUUUUCAACCAGAGUGAUCAAGACCAUUGAGGCUUCCAGGAGGCAAUCUACCACACACAUUUAUGAUGCGACCUCGGCCUCCUUUGUGGCUUGGUGUCGGUCCACGCAGGUGGAUCCAGCGUCAGCUUCGGUACCACAGAUACUGGAGUUUCUCCAGGAUGGCCUGGAGAAAGGCCUAACCCACAAUACCUCAGAGACAGGUUUCGGCCCUGGCCACAGCCCUUGGAGGUGUGGGUUCUCGAUCCCUAGCACACCACCCAGUCAUUAAGCUGUUUCUCAGAGGGGCAGCUAAUCUCAGGACCCCUGUGGUACACCAGUUCCCCACAUGGGACCUUCCCACAGUACUUCAGGCACGAUGGAUGCUCUCUUUGAGCCUUUGAGAACAAUGAAUCUUCAGUUCAUAACCCUUAAGGUUGUAUUUCUGGUGGCGAUUACCUCCGCCAGACGUAUUUCCAAACUCAACACACUGUCUUCCAGGGCAAAUCUGUACACAUUUUAUGACAAAAGAAUCGUCCUCGAGCUUGACCCAUCCUUCUUGCCCAAGGUUAACACUCUUUUCCAUAGGGGAAAGGGAACGGUCCUGGCAUUGCCUGGAUAUGUGGAGGGCACUCCUAUCUAUCUGAAACGCAUUUCUCCACUCAGGAGGUCGGAGGCUCCUUUCAGCCCUCUACCCUUCGUUUCCUUUCAGCCCUCUACCCUAGGAGCAAAGGUAUCACCUGCUACCAUAGGCAAAUGGAUUCGGCUGGCCAUCACUUGGGUAUAUGAGGCAUGCAGGCUACUGGUGCCGCUGCAUCAUGGCACACUCCACCAGGAGUGCAGCCACGUCUGCGGCCUGGUCUACUCAGGUGCCCAUUGGGGAUAUCUGUAGGGCUGCCAUCUGGGCUACGCCCUCGCCUUUCAUCAGGCAUUACAGGCUGGAUGCUUAUGCUUCCACUGAGGCCUCUUUUGGUAGGAGGAUACUUCAGGGAGUGCUAGACACUUGGGGGGCUCAGGCCAAAUGAUUCCCUCCCAUGGACAGCUAGUUUUGGUAUGUCCCAUCAGUGAUUCCUCCCACAGGUCACUUUGGAGAAUGUCAGUUAGUCUUACCUGAACUGCAUUUCUCAAAGGUCCUAUGGGAUGAGUCACUUCCCACCGUGUAAUGCACUGGCUAGCGCAGAGGGUCCUGAACUUGGUUAGUGGCUUUGGUCAGUCAGGGACUGUGGGGUUUGGUGUUCUCUUCCCUAUCCCCUUCCUUCCCAUGUCCUGAUUUUGGACUUUGACCUUCGAUUAAUCUGGAGAGCCAGGAAGAGGAAGUAGAGAGGAGUGGCCUCAAAUUUAACCUCAGUCUCUGGGCAGAUUGGAUGUGAGAAUACCCAUCAGUGACUCAUCUCACAGGACCUUUGAGAAAUGCAGUUCAGGUAAGACCAACUGACAUUCUAUAUAUGUGAAUUUUUUUCCUGCCUUACUUUUCAGCACUGAAUUGCAUCUUGAAUAGGUCCCAGUGCUCAAAUCUUUCAAAUCUGAAUCUUCAACCUACCUUCCAAAAUGUUAACCACUCCCUCCAGCUUGUUGUCUGCAGAUUUGAUGAGCUCUCCUUCUAUUCCUCAUCUAGAUCAUUUAUGAAGAUAUUGAAGAGCACUCGGCCGAAGGCAGAACUUCAGUCUAUGUAGUUGUAGUUUUGCUGAGAGCUAUAUGUGGAAUGCAGUUGCAGUCAAUUGUGAAAGCAUUUGGUGGUGGUAGUGUCUAUUAUAUAUUGUUCUGUCUUACCAAGGAGUAGGCUGUGGUCUACUUUGCCCAAUGCCUUACUGAAGUCCAAGUGUACUAUAUUCACAGCAUUUUCUUUGUUUGUUAAUUUAGUCAUUAUCAAAGAGGUUAUCCCAAAGUCUUGCCAUCUUCUUCCAAUAGUGGAUCUAAUGAGUUAACGGGAUCUAAGAAGCUUGUUUUAUGUCUGUGAUGGUCAACUUAUGGUAUGUGUGCCAGAGGUGGAACCCUCUCUGUGGGCACGUGCAUGAUUGCCAGCUGCUCUUCGCGGGCACCAGAGCACUGGAAAAUGGCCUGAAAACAGCCCAAAAAACAGUCUGAAAAUGGCCAAAAAACUGGCAUACGUGUGCAACCUAGUUGGUCCGGGUUUCCGGUGCUCUGGUGCACACACAUGCAAUGCAUGUUUCAGUUUGGGCACUUGGUGCUGAAAAGUUUCUCCAUCAUUGUCCUAUGCUAUAUAGAAUUAAAGAUCUUAUACGCAGCACUAAUUGAACACCUGACAAUUGCAGGAGACUACCAGCAAAUUGUGAAAGUUUUGUUUCAGCAACACUAGUACCUCUCAUUCACUUAUUCAUUCAAGUGUUACAUAUCAAAGACCCUUCUUAUCCAUGGCUAGGUGAUACCAAAUAGUAUGAUAGCACUUGUACUAUUCUUUUUUAGAUGAAUCCUAAGGGAAUGGAAGGUAACAUUUCAAACUUGUAUUUCUUCUAGCUCUCUUUUAUAAACAAUGUUGAAUUUUAUCAGCUUGAUUGCUGACUUACCCAACAUUACACAUUUGUUAUAUUGAUAGAGAUUCUCAGUCAUCCAGGUCAUAGUUGUCUCAAAGUUGUUUUUUCAAAAGGCAACUGGACUGUUUUUUUCCUUGAAGAAGAAGAACACAAUGUUUUGCUUAUCAUCCAAGAAACUUCAUCAGUUUUGAUGGCAGUGUGGGAGGAUAGGUAAUGACAAUUGAGACUGAAUGGUGGGGGAUGGAAGGAUAGUUCUGACCAGAUGGUGGGGUGGGGGAAAAGGAAGGAUUGUAUUUCUUUGCAGUCAUCUGGUCAUUAACACUCCCUGAGAGCUCUAGAGGACACUUGGGAGUUUAUCAUUUAUUAUGAACAUUCAUCAAUAUCUGAUAGUUGUCCAUCUUGUCAACAUUCCAUGAUAAUUCCAUAAAUAAGGGAAAACAAGCUUGAUAGAAAAAUGUUUUCAAUUCUCCAUUGCUUCACAAUGUCUAACCAUAAGAGACUGUAUUGUGUUUAAUGGUAUCUUAAUUAUUUGAUCUUAUUUAGUAAUGUUGGGUUAACACAUUUUCUCUCUGUCUCUCUCUCUCUCCUCCCCCCUCUUUCUCUCCCUCUCCUUCUUUCAUUCUCCACACAUGCAAUAAAGAAAUUAAUCCUGUUGCAUGUGAACAGUAACCAAUGUCUGGAUAAAGCUACUGAAGAAGACAGCCAAGUGCCCAGUAUCAAGGACUGUAAUGGU
This is a non-coding RNA of Thamnophis sirtalis, 5662 nucleotides long. NCBI's taxonomy places the organism in Eukaryota, Metazoa, Chordata, Lepidosauria, Squamata, Natricidae. The record is from RefSeq and is a predicted model, not a curated record.